GGAGUUAGCCGGUGCUUCUUCUGCGAGUAACGUCACAGAUGUAAGGUAUUAACUUACACCCUUUCCUCCUCGCUGAAAGUGCUUUACAACCCGAAGGCCUUCUUCACACACGCGGCAUGGCUGCAUCAGGGUUUCCCCCAUUGUGCAAUAUUCCCCACUGCUGCCUCCCGUAGGAGUCUGGGCCGUGUCUCAGUCCCAGUGUGGCUGAUCAUCCUCUCAGACCAGCUAGGGAUCGUCGCCUAGGUGAGCCUUUACCUCACCUACUAGCUAAUCCCACCUGGGCUUAUCCAUCAGCGCAAGGCCCGAAGGUCCCCUGCUUUCCCCCGUAGGGCGUAUGCGGUAUUAGCAGUCGUUUCCAACUGUUAUCCCCCACAAAUGGGCAAAUUCCCAGGCAUUACUCACCCGUCCGCCGCUCGUCAUCUUCAAAAGCAAGCUUUUGAAAUGUUACCUCUCGACUUGCAUGUGUUAGGCCUGCCGCCAGCGUUCAAUCUGAGCCAGAAUCAAACUCUGA
Molecule: ribosomal RNA, 511 nt
Filed under: uncultured bacterium
Lineage: Bacteria
Description: partial 16S ribosomal RNA
Source: RNAcentral